AGUGAACGCUGGCGGUAGGCCUAACACAUGCAAGUCGAACGGCAGCACAGUAAGAGCUUGCUCUUACGGGUGGAGAGUGGCGGACGGGUGAGGAAUACAUCGGAAUCUACUUUUUCGUGGGGGUUACGUAGGGAAACUUACGCUAAUACCGCAUACGACCUCCGGGUGAUAGCAGGGGAUCUUCGGACCUUGCGCGAUUGAAUGAGCCGUUGUCGGAUUAGCUAGUUGGCGGGGUAAAGGCCCACCAAGGCGACGAUUCGUAGCUGGUCAGAGAGGAUGAUCAGCCGCACUGGAGCGGAGACGCGGUGCAAACUCCGACGUGAGGCAGCGGUGAGGAAUAUUGGACAAGGGGCGCUAGCCUAUACCAGCCAAUCCGCGUGGGUGAAGAAGACCUUCGGGUUGUAAAUCACUUUUGUUUGGAAAUAAUAGCAGCAGGUUAAUACCCCGCUGUUCUGACGGUACCCAAAGAAUAAGCACCGGCUAACUUCGU
RNAcentral lists this ribosomal RNA (490 nucleotides) under uncultured bacterium. RNAcentral's name for it is "partial 16S ribosomal RNA". It matches the Rfam family "Bacterial small subunit ribosomal RNA", at positions 29 to 506 of the family's 1533-position model. The record is from RNAcentral.